This 394-nucleotide transfer-messenger RNA is filed under the name bacterium ADurb.Bin425. RNAcentral's name for it is "transfer-messenger RNA, SsrA". It matches the Rfam family "transfer-messenger RNA". Rfam says of the family: Bacterial tmRNA, also known as 10Sa RNA or SsrA, is named for its dual tRNA and mRNA-like properties. Its role is to liberate the mRNA from a stalled ribosome. To accomplish this part of the tmRNA is used as a reading frame that ends in a translation stop signal. The record is from RNAcentral. RNAcentral also lists the same sequence under 2 other names.
GGGGGCGUUUAGAUUCGACAGGGCUGUUGGGUCGUAAGUUGCAAGCCGGGGAGCUUGUGCCUCGUUAAUAAAUAAGCAAAAACAAAGAUGCCAAUAACGUCAUCGAUUUCACCGCCAAGCGUCAAGCUAAGCUUGCGCUUGCUGCCUAAUUUAACUUAGGCGCGGUACUCGACCGCUUCCUGACUACCCGAAGCGCAAGGGUAAACCAUGGUAGUUGCCCGGGUGCAAAGUUAGCGAGUGCUAGCACCUGUUAAGCCAUAAUCGCGAACCCGGUCGGCGGUCUGAGCCGCCUUCAGCGGACCCACAAGGUGACUGAGGAAAUAUCAGACUAAGCUUGUAGUAACUUGCUUCUCGGCGACUUUGGACGCGAGUGCGAUUCUCGCCGCCUCCACCA